UUAGUCUCAGUUCGGAUUGUAGGCUGAAACUCGCCUACAUGAAGCUGGAGUUGCUAGUAAUCGCGAAUCAGCAUGUCGCGGUGAAUACGUUCCCGGGCCUUGUACACACCGCCCGUCACACCAUGAGAGUUGGCAAUACCCAACGUACGUGAUCUAACCCGCAAGGGAGGAAGCGUCCUAAGGUAGGGUCAGCGAUUGGGGUGAAGUCGUAACAAGGUAUC
Molecule: ribosomal RNA, 221 nt
Filed under: uncultured bacterium
Lineage: Bacteria
Description: partial 16S ribosomal RNA
Rfam family: Bacterial small subunit ribosomal RNA
Source: RNAcentral